GAUGAACGCUGGCGGCGUGCCUAAUACAUGCAAGUCGAGCGAACAGACGAGGAGCUUGCUCCUCUGACGUUAGCGGCGGACGGGUGAGUAACACGUGGAUAACCUACCUAUAAGACUGGGAUAACUUCGGGAAACCGGAGCUAAUACCGGAUAAUAUAUUGAACCGCAUGGUUCAAUAGUGAAAGACGGUUUUGCUGUCACUUAUAGAUGGAUCCGCGCCGCAUUAGCUAGUUGGUAAGGUAACGGCUUACCAAGGCAACGAUGCGUAGCCGACCUGAGAGGGUGAUCGGCCACACUGUCAGUGAGACUCGGUCCCGGCUCCUACGGGAGGCAGCAGUAGGGAAUCUUCCGCAGUGGGCGAAAGCCUGACGGAGCAACGCCGCGUGCGUGAUGAAGGUCUUCGGAUCGUAAAACUCUGUUAUUCGGGAAGAACACAUGUGUAAGUAACUAUGCACGUCUUGACGGUACCUAAUCAGAAAGCCGCGGCUAACUACGUG
This 497-nucleotide ribosomal RNA is filed under the name uncultured bacterium. Its description in RNAcentral is "partial 16S ribosomal RNA". It matches the Rfam family "Bacterial small subunit ribosomal RNA", at positions 28 to 507 of the family's 1533-position model. The record is from RNAcentral.